Molecule: long non-coding RNA, 319 nt
Organism: Helianthus annuus (common sunflower)
Lineage: Eukaryota; Viridiplantae; Streptophyta; Magnoliopsida; Asterales; Asteraceae
Exons: 3
Source: RefSeq, a predicted model, not a curated record
AUACGCCGAUUGCCCUCAAAAGAUAUGUCUUUAUUAUGAUUCUAAAGUCAUAAAAUGCAAUGAUUUUUUGGGUUCUGCUAAUGGGUUUUCAUUCACACCAUUUUCUUCAAUUUUGGACAAAACUUUUCAGAAUACUCAACCCAUAGAUGUUAUUGGAGAUGUUUGUGUUUGUUACGACACGGAAUCUUUCACCGGUAAAAAUGGGAAAGAAUCAGUUAAAAGAACGAUUCAGCUUGAAGAUAAAGAGGGCAAUAAAAUAUAUGUGACUCCGUGGGACUCAUACGUGCAUCAGUUUAAUGAUUACAUCUCACAAAAUCCA